RNAcentral lists this ribosomal RNA (497 nucleotides) under uncultured bacterium. RNAcentral describes it as "bacterial SSU rRNA". It matches the Rfam family "Bacterial small subunit ribosomal RNA", at positions 28 to 521 of the family's 1533-position model. The record is from RNAcentral.
GAUGAACGCUAGCGGCAGGCUUAACACAUGCAAGUCGAGGGGUAUAGUUCUUCGGAACUAGAGACCGGCGCACGGGUGCGUAACGCGUAUGCAAUCUACCUUUUGCAGAGGGAUAGCCCCAGAGAAAUUUGGAUUAAUACCUCAUAGUAUAGCAGUUUCGCAUGAAACCACUAUUAAAGUCACAACGGCAAAAGAUGAGCAUGCGUCCCAUUAGCUAGUUGGUAAGGUAACGGCUUACCAAGGCUACGAUGGUAGGGGUCCUGAGAGGGAGAUCCCCCACACUGGUACUGAGACACGGACCAGACUCCUACGGGAGGCAGCAGUGAGGAAUAUUGGACAAUGGGCGAAAGCCUGAUCCAGCCAUGCCGCGUGUGUGAAGAAGGUCUUCGGAUUGUAAAGCACUUUAAGUUGGGAGGAAGGGUAGUAACCUAAUACGUUGCUACUUUGACGUUACCGACAGAAUAAGCACCGGCUAACUUCGUGCCAGCAGCCGCGGU